AGGAAUCCGCUGCCAUCCGCAGCCAGAGGCUGUCUGCGUGACCCUCGCCUGGGUCCAGCGAGAAGCGGUUGGGAGGGCCAGGCCGAGGACCUUCGUCCUGAGGAGCCUGUAUACAUAUUGGAAGCAGGUGCUACAAAUGUUUUAUUGAUUAGAGGGAUGUGACCAAAACGCUGCAGGCUACCAAUUUGGACUGAACCUGACAUGUCCACAUGUCCAUCUGACUCAUGAAGAAGAGACGUGGAUGGGGACCCAGCCCGGAUUCUGCACUUCAAGAUGGGCCAUACCCAUGGCAUAUGGAAACUUACAGACUAGGGGUUCAAUGGGAGCUGCAUCUGCCAGCCUACACCACAGCCACAGAAAUGCUGGAUCCUGAACCCACUAAAGCAAGGCCAGGGAUCAAACCCGAGUCCUCAUGGAUACUAGUUGCAUUUGUCACCACUGAGCCACGGUGGGAACUCCCAGAAGCUUUGUUUAAAUCAGAGCCUGCAACAAUUUUUGGUUUCUUUGGCUCCCAGAAAUUGAACUAUCCCCCUAUCUGUUUUAAAGAGAAAAUUGGCACCUCCUGGGCAUCUAUCCAGAGAAAACCAUGACUCGAUACAUGUACUCCAGUGUUCAUUGCAGCACUAUAUACAAUAGCCAAGACAUGGAAACAACUACAUGUCCAUCCACAGAGGAGUGGAUCAAGAAGAUGUGUUACAUACACACAAUGAAAUAUUACUCAGCCAUUAAAAGGAACGAAAUAAUGACAUUUGCUGCAAGAUGGAUGGACCUAGAAAUUAUCAUGCUAAGUGAAGUUAGUCAGGCAAUGAGACACCAGCAUCAAAUGCUAUCACUUACAUGUGGAAUCUAAAAAAAGGACACAAUGAACUUCUCUGCAGAACAGAUACUGACUCAUAGACUCUGAAAAACUUAUGGUUCCUAAUGAGACAGGUUGUGGGGUGGGGGGAUGCACUGAAGGCUUGGGAUGGAGAUGCUAUAAAAUUGGGUUGUGAUGAUUGUUUUACAACUAUAAAUGUAAUAAAAUUCAUU
RNAcentral lists this long non-coding RNA (1029 nucleotides) under Sus scrofa (pig). RNAcentral describes it as "lncRNA (ENSSSCG00005041222.1)". Lineage: Eukaryota; Metazoa; Chordata; Mammalia; Artiodactyla; Suidae. The record is from RNAcentral.